GACGAACGCUGGCGGCGUGCCUAACACAUGCAAGUCGAACGGAAAGGCCCUGCUUUUGUGGGGUGCUCUAGGGGCGAACGGGUGAGUAACACGUGAGUAACCUGCCCUUGACUUUGGGAUAACUUCAGGAAACUGGGGCUAUUACCGGAUAGGAUCUCCUGCUGCUUGGUGGGGGUUGGAUAGUUUCGGUGGUUGGGGAUGGACUCGCGGCUUAUCAGCUUGUUGGUGGGGUAGUGGCUUACCAAGGCUCUGCAGGGUAGCAGACCUGGGAGGGUGAGUGGACAAAUUAGGACUGGGAUGCGACGCAGACGCGACUGGGACGCAGGGGUGGAGAGUAUUACACAAUGGGCGGAAGGCAGAUGUAGUGACGCCGCGCGCGGGAUGACAGCCUUGGGGUUGUGAACCGCUGUCGCCUGAGACGAAGCGUGAGUGACGGUAAUGGGUAAAGAAGCACCGGCUAACUACGUG
This 468-nucleotide ribosomal RNA is filed under the name uncultured bacterium. RNAcentral describes it as "partial 16S ribosomal RNA". It matches the Rfam family "Bacterial small subunit ribosomal RNA", at positions 28 to 507 of the family's 1533-position model. The record is from RNAcentral.